This 409-nucleotide ribosomal RNA is filed under the name uncultured Aeromicrobium sp. RNAcentral describes it as "bacterial SSU rRNA". It matches the Rfam family "Bacterial small subunit ribosomal RNA", at positions 355 to 774 of the family's 1533-position model. Lineage: Bacteria; Bacillati; Actinomycetota; Actinomycetes; Propionibacteriales; Nocardioidaceae. The record is from RNAcentral.
UGGGGGAUAUUGGACAAUGGGCGCAAGCCUGAUCCAGCAACGCCGCGUGAGGGAUGACGGCCUUCGGGUUGUAAACCUCUUUCAGCAGGGACGAAGCGAAAGUGACGGUACCUGCAGAAGAAGGACCGGCCAACUACGUGCCAGCAGCCGCGGUAAUACGUAGGGUCCGAGCGUUGUCCGGAAUUAUUGGGUGUAAAGGGCUCGUAGGCGGUUAGUCGCGUCGGGAGUGAAAACUCAGGGCUCAACCCUGAGCGUGCUUCCGAUACGGGCUGACUAGAGGUAUGCAGGGAGAACGGAAUUCCUGGUGUAGCGGUGGAAUGCGCAGAUAUCAGGAGGAACACCGGUGGCGAAGGCGGUUUCUUCUUGGGCAUUACCUGACGCUGAGGAGCGAAAGCAUGGGGAGCGAACA